Molecule: long non-coding RNA, 296 nt
Organism: Pipistrellus kuhlii (Kuhl's pipistrelle)
Lineage: Eukaryota; Metazoa; Chordata; Mammalia; Chiroptera; Vespertilionidae
Exons: 3
Source: RefSeq, a predicted model, not a curated record
GAUAAAAAGUAAAAUGAUAGACACACACUUUUAACAAUUAAGGAAUUUGUGGUCUCCGUCCUGGUGCCCAGGUGCAUGUGGUUGUGCCCUGAGGAGUCUGGGAAAGGGGAAGUUACAAGUUACCCUGACAUUUCACAGGAUAGUUCUUAGAUGCAAAAAGACAAUAGACUCAAUAAAGAUCCGAAGUUGAUCUUUGUCAAGGAAGAUACUGGCCUAGGACAUGACUACCCACUACAAACUGCUUUUUAAUGAAAGGUUUUUAAUCUUAGACCAUCCUGUGUGGUUAUUUACUAGUA